RNAcentral lists this transfer RNA (77 nucleotides) under Bdellovibrionales bacterium CG10_big_fil_rev_8_21_14_0_10_45_34. Its description in RNAcentral is "tRNA-Met". It matches the Rfam family "tRNA". From Rfam's summary of the family: Transfer RNA (tRNA) molecules are approximately 80 nucleotides in length. Lineage: Bacteria; Pseudomonadati; Bdellovibrionota; Bdellovibrionia; Bdellovibrionales. The record is from RNAcentral.
GGGCCGUUAGCUUAGUUGGUUAAAGCAUCCGGCUCAUAACCGGAGGAUCCGGGGUUCGAGUCCCUGACGGCCUACCA